Molecule: long non-coding RNA, 374 nt
Filed under: Crocodylus porosus (Australian saltwater crocodile)
Lineage: Eukaryota; Metazoa; Chordata; Crocodylia; Crocodylidae
Description: lncRNA (ENSCPRG00005002402.1)
Source: RNAcentral
GUCUGAGACAUGUGAUCGCUAAAAACGCAUCUCAUUUUACCAGUAUACAAAUUUUACUUCUCAUCUUAAUUUUGUAGGUGAUCUUGAAGACUAGAACAAUUAAGCAGGACUGUCCAAGUAAUGGCUGCCAGCUUAAGUGAAAGCCAUGAAGCAUUAAGACUGCAUGAGGGUUAUUUUGAGAUCAUCUGAUUUCCUACUAGGAGGUGCUAUGAGAGAUCAUCGCCUUGAAAACCUUCAAAGAGAAUGGUCUGAAAGGGGUUUUUUUGGUGGUGGCAUGUUCCAGAACUUGGAUCAGUUUUACAUUUUCAUUUAGCAUGAGAGAGUUUUUAAACUUGUGUGUCUGUAUAAAAAUAAACUUCCAUCACAGGACUUCA